AUUGAACGCUGGCGGCAGGCCUAACACAUGCAAGUCGAGCGGCAGCGGAAAGUAGCUUGCUACUUUGCCGGCGAGCGGCGGACGGGUGAGUAAUGUCUGGGAAACUGCCUGAUGGAGGGGGAUAACUACUGGAAACGGUAGCUAAUACCGCAUAACGUCGCAAGACCAAAGAGGGGGACCUUCGGGCCUCUUGCCAUCAGAUGUGCCCAGAUGGGAUUAGCUAGUAGGUGGGGUAACGGCUCACCUAGGCGACGAUCCCUAGCUGGUCUGAGAGGAUGACCAGCCACACUGGGACUGAGACACGGUCCAGACUCCUACGGGAGGCAGCAGUGGGGAAUAUUGCACAAUGGGCGCAAGCCUGAUGCAGCCAUGCCGCGUGUAUGAAGAAGGCCUUCGGGUUGUAAAGUACUUUCAGCGGGGAGGAAGGUGUUGAGGUUAAUAACCUCAGCAAUUGACGUUACCCGCAGAAGAAGCACCGGCUAACUCCGUG
This 490-nucleotide ribosomal RNA is filed under the name uncultured bacterium. Its description in RNAcentral is "partial 16S ribosomal RNA". It matches the Rfam family "Bacterial small subunit ribosomal RNA", at positions 30 to 507 of the family's 1533-position model. The record is from RNAcentral.